This 3713-nucleotide long non-coding RNA is filed under the name Sus scrofa (pig). RNAcentral's name for it is "lncRNA (ENSSSCG00000060635.1)". The record is from RNAcentral. Lineage: Eukaryota; Metazoa; Chordata; Mammalia; Artiodactyla; Suidae.
CCCCAAUUUAUUUCCAUUCAUAUGUGAUAAUGAAGCCUAGAAUUGGCUCCUCCAAAGCAAGUUCAAGCUUGUUACCUGCAUUUAGUAAAAUAUUGAUUAUCUCUUCUCCCAAAUGGCAGCACUCCUAGUCCAGCAGUAUGGGAUGGAGGCAAGGGAAAAGAACUAUAUCUUUCCCCAUAUAUCCAUAUUCUGAGGGCAAAUUUAAGCGCUGUUUCUAAGCAAUCUAAGUUAUCAGAGAUAGGUUGAUAAGUAAAAGGAGCAAGAUAUGGUCAUAAGAUAAGGGGUUUUGGAGCCAGGCAGACAUAAUUUUCAUUCUUAUUCUCAUCCUCACUAGGUCAGGGACCUUAGGCCAUUAAAUGACUUACUUGUGUUUUAUCAUAAGCAAAAUUGAGACUAUAGCCCUGAUUUGCAGAAUUAAUUAGAGGAAAAGAAAUAAUGUGCAUAAGUGUAUAGCAAAGAGCCUAGCCCAUUUUGGGCAUUUUAAUGAACAGUAGCUAUUUUCUCCAUGAUGUUACUGAUUUAAUAAGCAAGAGAAGGGUUCUUUCAUGCCAGGUAUCAGGCCUCCUCUUAACAGCACAUUCUCAGUGCACCAUCUGGAUUUUAACAAGAUCCCCAGGAGAUUUAUAUGCACUUUGAAGUUUGAGACGUGCCGACAAUGCCUACAUGGUAGGUUGUUGUGAGCAGUAAGUGAACUGAUAGAUGUAAACACUUAGAAACUGACAUAAAUACUAAGUGCUGAGUAGAUGUUAGCUGUUAUUUGUUUUAUUUUACAUCAAAUUAUACCUCAAGUGACAAGGUUUGUCUCAAGCUUCCUGUGAUCUUUCCAUUAUCCUCUUAUUAAUUAUUCCAUUUUUUUGUUGUUUGUGCACCACAAACAUCUUCGUAGGUAAUUUUGAUAAUUCAUUUUCUUAGACUCUUCCCUGUCAGACUCAAAGAUCUUCAAGGACACGUGAGUGUCUUUUAUAUCCUUGUUCUCUGGCCCAGGACAGUGCCAGAAGAGACCUCCAAUAAAUAUGAGCUGAAUAAAUGAUAUAAACAUAUACAUCUAACAAGAACAACAACAGCAAACAGGAACAGUUCCAAGUGGAUGACAUGAGGAAUACUUACCAGAAAGACUCAAAGAAUGCUAAGGUGUUUCGAGAAAUAUCCUUAGUAAGAAUGAAAUUUAAGCUAUUUUUGAACAAUGUAGAUAUUUGGGAGUUUAAGAGAAAGACAUGGUGUAAAUUUGGGUGCAGGUAAUGAUGUGAGUGAAACUUAAAAAAUGGGUUGCAAGUAACAGGUUCACAGGAGCAAGAAUCGAUAGGUGUUUCUGGAACAGAGAGUUCUUUGCAGAACUGUAGUAGAAAACAUAAGUUGUGAACUCACAUGCUGAAGAUCCUCAGCAAAAAGUUUGAAAAGAGAACACUUGAAAGUUGUUGAGCUGGAAGCAAACAUGCUUGACAUGUUUCUCCUUUUAAAAGGAGAAAUAAAAAGCAUAUUAACUGCCUCUGCUUCUUUUUUUGCCAGUCCUUGAAGAGACACAAACAGCUAACAAGUCCACGUGGUCACUUAUGAGUUUCAAAGUUUUUUAAUUUUUAUAAUUAUUCUCACAGGUGUUGUCAUUGUUUUCUGGUUUGAAAAUACUCCAAAGGGUUAUAUUUCUUCUACAAGAUUACAGUGGAAUGUGACUGAGCAAUUCGAGGUCCACUUUAUGUCCUGAAUUUGAGGUACUGUGGAUGAGUAGUGAAAAGAUGUGUUGACUCGAUGUAGAUGGUGUGUGGUCAGCAGGUCUUGUUGAUUUGUUUGGUGACUCUCUUGCAGACAUUUCAAUUUGGUGCUUUAGCAAAUUUUCCAGUGUCUCUACACCAUUGGUCAGAAGAGUAGUCCACAGAGUAUGCCAAUGAGUUUGUGAGUAUGCUAAGGGUUUUUUUUUUUUUUUUUUUUUUCCCUUGUCUUUUUAGGGCUGUACCAUGGCAUAUGGAGGUUCCCAGGCCAGGGGUCGAAUCAGAGCUGUAGCUGCUGCCUAUGCCACAGCCACAGCAAUGUCAGAUCCAAGCCGCAUCUGUGACCUCACCACAGCUCACCACAACACCAGCUACUUAACCCACUGAGCGAGACCAGGGAUCAAACCUGCAUCCUUAUGGAUGCUAGUCAGAUUCGUUUCUGCUGAGCCACAACAGGAACUCCCUGCUAAGGAUAUUUUACGUGGAUUCCUCAGAAUGAAGUGGGGGUUUGCAUUUCUAUUGGAGUUGAAUUUACUAAGAAAGAAUUUAUGAGAACAGCUGAUUUGUCCUUAAUAUUCUGUUUCCUUUGUACUGUAGAUAAAACAGGAAGAGUCAAAGAGGAUCAGAAAUAAAUCUUAUCUCUUUUGAUUUAUUUAACUGCUUAUGUCUUUAUCCUGUUGACUGAUUCUUUUCUGGAUUAUACUCCUUGUAAGCAGGAACAUGACCUUCUUUUUUUCUGACUUAUUGUUUAAAAAAGGUGCAGGCUAGAGGUGAAUACACAGGAGUUCAAUAAAAACUUACUAAAUAGUUGAAGUUCAAAAACAUUGUUAGUAAGCAUCCAUUUUCUAGGUAUACAGCUAAUGUUCCUGCUGUUUUAUGCAUGCAGAUGAAACAGCCGAGUGGUCUGUAUUACAUCUUGGGCUUCAGGUCCCUAAGGGCCAUAAAUUACCCCUCCCAGAGACUGCUCAAUAUACCUGUGCAGAGGCAGCCUAUAAUUACAAGGUUCUUGGGAGGGAACAGAGUGACCAGAUCACAGCGAUGUGUAAAAGAGCCUUGUUAGAGAGUGAGGGGAGGACAUUGGGGUAAAGAAUGAUAACACGUUAUCUUUUUCCUGAGGAGUGAUUUCUAGGAUGCUUCCACAUCUAAUAUUUUAUAAUUAAUGAAAUAUUUGCUCGUGGUCUGUUCUGAACACUGUUUUUUUAUAACAAUAGUUCAUUUAAUGACAAAUCAAAAUUUAAUUGCAAAAUUAAAGUUAUUUUAUCUACAACAGUUAAAGACCAAAGAGAUAAGCCUUUGUCAGAGACAGAUUAUAUCUGUACCUGACUUUUUGAUGGAAAUAAUUUAAUAAAAGAUGUACAGAACUUGUAUACCAUUGCUAUUCAAAGUAUGGUUCAUGGAGCAGAGCCAGUCCAUGAUUUCAUUUCUUACUUUUUAGCAAUGAGAUCAGUACAGAAAUUGAGAGUAAGUGCUUAGAAAUGUUGAUACUAACUUAACAUUAUGGUAAUAUCCAAGCCUGUGAUCCAUGGAUUUGAUUCAUUACAAAGUGUGUAACCCAGGUUGCUGAUGGUUGAACUUAAUUGAUAAGCUGCAUUUGUUGCAAACUAUGACCUAGUCAGGCAUGGUAGUCAUGCAUAUUUUGACCUGCAGUCCUUAGAAAACAAAACUUGUUCUGCAUCACAGAUACAUAAUCUACAGAACUUUAUUGAACAAAUGAAGAGGACCUAAAUAAGAGAAGGGAUAAACUAUGUUCAUGGAUUGAAAGAUUUAGUAUUUUGAAGAUAUAAAUUUUCGCUCAGAUUAGUGUAUAAAGUCAAUUAAAUUCUAAGUGAAAAAACUCUUGGCAGAUUUUUUUUUUGUGGAAGUAGGGAGGGAGAGAAAAGCUGAAUCUUAAUUUAUAUGGGAUAAAAAUAACUAAAGAAAUAAAAAAGAAAAAAAGAAAACUGGAAGACUUAAUCUACCAGUUACCCAUACUUAAUAUAAAAAUAUAGUACUUAAUAAAAUGUGAUACUU